Mesocricetus auratus (golden hamster) is the source of this 1619-nucleotide long non-coding RNA. RefSeq lists it as uncharacterized. The transcript has 4 exons. The record is from RefSeq and is a predicted model, not a curated record. Lineage: Eukaryota; Metazoa; Chordata; Mammalia; Rodentia; Cricetidae.
GGAACCACAUUUCACAUAGAAGACUGAGGUAUUCAGUAUGAUGAUCAAGCUUCGCUGUACUAGAAUGGCAUUAUAUUCACUGAGAAGACACAGCUCCGUGUCUGUCUCUGAAGGUGUGUACAGAGGAUCAGUUAAAGACGAAGACUCAUCCUGACAGAGGAUGCACAACCUUUGCACAUGAAGUCAGAAUGAGCAGAAAGGGAGUGAAUGAAGAAGCCAGGUUUAAAUCCAGAACUCAAGAAACAGAGGCAAGACAGCUUGACUUAGAAGCCAGCCUGAGUUUUCAUCUUAUCUCUUCAAUGAAAAGAUCAGUAUAUCACACAACCCCUGUCAGAGAAGUGUCUUUCCAGUUGAUGGUGAUCCACACAGAUUUCCACAACUGGCCGAGAAGUGUCUUUGGAAGAGGACUCUGGGUAGGAGAAACAGAGGGAGUCACAAUGUUGCCCGUCAGAGAAGUAAGUGUCUGGAACUCUUCUCCGGUAAGAGAAAUACUUAUAUUGGCAAUUAUGGGAUAAAUACUUAAGUCAGAGCUAGCCAGUAAGAAACAAGCAAGGCCAACAGCUUCAUAAGUCAAAAAAAAGAGUCUUUGGAAGGCAAAUCCCUAAAUAUGGUGCCUCUAUUUUAUUUUCUCUUAUCAAGGUUCAAAUAUCAUCACACAAAGAGGGGCAGAAAGAUGGUCAGAGAUGUAAUAGUUUUGUUUUGAAGUCAACAAAACCUUUUCUGUGCAUAACAUUGCACUUCCAGCUAUGAACUCUGAAGAGUUGUUACAGUACAUCCAAGGUGCUUUGCAUCAAGGAGGGAGGGAGAUAAAAAGUCCCGGGCCUAAGUGAGGCAGUGCAGGCCAUUGGUUGCUGCUACAAUACGAGAUUCUGUUUUUCUUAAGGGUUUGCCUGUAGUAGAAGUGGACCAUGUACCAGGGAAUGACCCCUACCAAAGGGCACAUGGGAAACACAAAUCUCAUUUGAUAUUAUUAUGUUUGAAGACUUUGGUUCUCAAUUUUAGGGUCAAGACCCAUUUGAUGUCAAUUUUAGAUGUUUAGAUUAUGAUUCAUAACAGUAUCAAAUUUACUGAUAUGAAAUAAUUUUAUGGUUGGAGUCAACACAACACAACACAAAGAAGUGUACUAAGUGCUCACAUUAGUCAGGUGGAGAACCACUGUUUUAAGGUGGGGGAAGUGGACAACAGUUGAGUAUUCUUGUAGAGGGGAGUUGAUCGUGGAACACUUGGGAGAACGUAAUUCAAUUUGGUAAAACACACUGUAUGAAACUUUCAAAGAAGUAAUAAAAAUCGGGCACUAUUUAUACAGUUCAUCUAAAUCAUUGCUUAGCUCAAUGCAUGGUCAUAGAAUUCUUUGUAAUAAUAAUGUUCACCACAGAUCCCGUUGUCAACCUUAACAAUGUCUGCACUAAUAUAGAUGGGUUUAGAUUCACACGUAAUUGUCAUCCCACAAAUAUAUUAAGGAGUAUAUCUGUUCUUGUGAAAUAUAUCCCAAGCUAAUACUACCUUUCAUUAGAAAAAGUAAUUAUCAGUUGGGUAUCAUUGGAAAUGUCCCAGGGAAAAGGCAACAGAAGGAUUUAAAAGCCAUGGAAUAUGAAAACUUAAAGGGAUGAUACUCACUC